CCUACGGGUGGCAGCAGUGAGGAAUAUUGGUCAAUGGGCGCUAGCCUGAACCAGCCAAGUAGCGUGAAGGAUGACGGCCCUAUGGGUUGUAAACUUCUUUGAUAGGGGAAUAAAGUGCAGUAGGUAUACUGCUUUGCAUGUACCUUAUGAAUAAGGAUAGGCUAACUCCGUGCCAGCAGCCGCGGUAAUACGGCGGUUCCGAGGGUUAUCCUGAUUUGUUGGGUUGACAGGGAGCGUAGGCGGGUUGUUAAGUCAGUUGUGAAAGGUUGCGGCUCCACCGUAAAAUUGCAGUUGAUACGGGCAUCCUUGCGUACAGUAGAGGUAGGCGGAAUUCCUUGUGUAGCGGU
This 347-nucleotide ribosomal RNA is filed under the name uncultured bacterium. RNAcentral's name for it is "partial 16S ribosomal RNA". It matches the Rfam family "Bacterial small subunit ribosomal RNA", at positions 338 to 682 of the family's 1533-position model. The record is from RNAcentral.